This 268-nucleotide ribosomal RNA is filed under the name uncultured bacterium. RNAcentral's name for it is "partial 16S ribosomal RNA". It matches the Rfam family "Bacterial small subunit ribosomal RNA", at positions 9 to 253 of the family's 1533-position model. The record is from RNAcentral.
GAGUUUGAUCCUGGCUCAGGAUGAACGCUAGCGACAGGCUUAACACAUGCAAGUCGAGCGAGCUGAAUUCAAAGAUUCCUUCGGGAUGAUUUGUUGGACGCUAGCGGCGGAUGGGUGAGUAACACGUGGGCAAUCUGCCCUAAAGACUGGGAUACCACUUGGAAACAGGUGCUAAUACCGGAUAACAACAUGAAUCGCAUGAUUCAAGUUUGAAAGGCGGCGUAAGCUGUCACUUUAGGAUGAGCCCGCGGCGCAUUAGCUAGUUGGU